RNAcentral lists this unclassified non-coding RNA (352 nucleotides) under soil metagenome. RNAcentral's name for it is "partial contains 5.8S ribosomal RNA, internal transcribed spacer 2, and large subunit ribosomal RNA". The stretch from base 1 to 120 matches the Rfam family "5.8S ribosomal RNA", at positions 35 to 154 of the family's 154-position model. The record is from RNAcentral.
GAUGAAGAACGUAGCGAAAUGCGAUAAGUAAUGUGAAUUGCAGAAUUCCGUGAAUCAUCGAAUGUUUGAACGCACAUUGCGCCCGCUGGUACUCCGGCGGGCACGCCUGUCCGAGCGUCAUUUCAACCCUCAAGCCCUCCUUCGGGAUGGGCCUGGUGUUGGGGCUCGGCCGCCAUCUCCGGCGGCCGUCCCCUAAAUACAGUGGCGGUCACGUCGCGACUCCUUUGCGUAGUAGAAACACCUCGCUCCGGAUAGCAACGCGGUCCACGCCGUAAAAUCCCCAAUUUUCAAUGGUUGACCUCGGAUCAGGUGGGAAUACCCGCUGAACUUAAGCAUAUCAAUAAGCGGAGGA